UAGUGCUUCACGCAAUGGAAUUCUAUCCACAUACCCAAAGUGCUCGCUCCAGCAUCCGUUUCCUCGAUCACAAUCGAAUAGUCGAUUCGCUGCGUUCGAAAGUGAAUUAACUUGAUCUUGAACUUGUCCAAUGAUAGACACAAGGCGAAGUCGCUCAAAACUAACAGCAAUAAAAAACACGACGGAAAAAGAGCAACGAUCGAACUUGAUAUACCAGUCGCUCAUUACUUCCUUUCAGCCAGAAAUGGUGAAUGCAACUACACCACAGAUAAAUGCUCCAAUGUAAAAGAUUGUUUUCCAUACUGUCAAGAGCCUGACGUUAUUGCUUAUGGAGUAAAAGAGGCAUUCUGUCUGAAUGGUUAUUGUUCAUGCGGUGAAGCAAUUCAAAUAUGCUUCUCCGAGGAAGACUGCUGGAGACAAUGUAGGACAGAUUCGUUGUCUCCACAUCGUAAAAGACCUUUAUGCACAGAAAAUGGAUAUUGUGAAUGCCUAGAAUCGUAAACUUUAAUUGACUAUUUUUUGCAUUUUAAUAUCGGAUUUUUCGAUAAAAAUACGUAUAUCUAACAUUUAUGAAUAUUUACAAUAUUUGCUCAACUUUCCACAUUCCAAAAAACAUUAUAGUUAUUUUGUAUGAAUAAACGUUAUGUUGAAGAUUUCUAAAUUGUAUAAGUAUUCUUUGAUCAUUAAACAUUACUUAGUUCUUAUACUGAUCAUAAGCCGUAGAGAACUGAAUUUUUAACCACUUAAAUAAACUUUUAUUGCUGAACCAGUCGCACAAAUGGAACGCAAAAUUUUCCAGCAAUUUCUUACAGUAGCUCUAAAUAAAAAUUAGCGUUUUAUUACCCACAUAAAUUAAAUUAUUGAUGUUUCGCAGAAUAUGCUUUGUAAAAAAAGAAGAAAAUAUAACUAAUUUUGUGCAAGGAAAAUAAACGUAAAGAAGGACUCGUAAUUACUGGUGCAGGCCUUUCUGUAACAUUUCUUGGGUCACUACAUUAGACAGCUGUGCAAAAAGCUCGCAAUUUUCUGCGGCAGGACAUUCUCAUAAAAUGAUUGCGAUGCUCUUAGCUCUCUACAAUGAGCUCUAUUAGCAAUAAUUCAUCACCAAGCGUGAAAAGAAAUGAAUAGCGGGAAGAUAGGAAAAAGGAGACAAUUAAGUGAAAAAUGAUUGCUUGUACUUGCCUUAUACUCUCUAUUAAUUAUUUUCAGCUGCGCUACUUUAUCUUGGAAAAAUAGGUAAAGAUAUAGAUUUUUAAUUAUGUCAUACGUUUUUGUAAUAUUUGAAAACAAAUAUUUGUAUUUUUUAUUCAUUUUUUAACGACUAAUUAAAAAAAAUGUUUACUAUUAAUUUCUAACAUAUCUAGUUGAAUUUUUAUGUAUAAUUAUAAGCAAUUCAUUAUCUGGAUCGCUACUGGUAUAGAAAUGAUAAACGACGGUGUUCUCAUCGGUUUCAUUUAUUAAGCAAGUUUCAUCUACAUGACGAUCAAACCUCUUUAAGUAAUAUAGACUAGUGAUACAGAUAGUGAUGUUGUCGUAGAUUAAUUGUCACAGAUGCAAGUCGGGAAUUAUGCACAUCAGGAAUUUUUUACUUAUAUUUGAAACAAAUAAAACCUAUACUCACAGAGGUAUUAGCUUAUAAGGGCUAU
Molecule: long non-coding RNA, 1643 nt
Organism: Phymastichus coffea
Lineage: Eukaryota; Metazoa; Arthropoda; Insecta; Hymenoptera; Eulophidae
Exons: 3
Source: RefSeq, a predicted model, not a curated record